GGUGCGAUCCCAAAGUUUGUUUGGUUGCACUCAUAAUCCCUUGGUCGUAGGUUCAAGUCCUACUGGGCCCACCA
RNAcentral lists this transfer RNA (74 nucleotides) under Halomonas sp. KO116. RNAcentral describes it as "tRNA-Met". The record is from RNAcentral. Lineage: Bacteria; Pseudomonadati; Pseudomonadota; Gammaproteobacteria; Oceanospirillales; Halomonadaceae.